RNAcentral lists this ribosomal RNA (253 nucleotides) under uncultured bacterium. RNAcentral's name for it is "partial 16S ribosomal RNA". It matches the Rfam family "Bacterial small subunit ribosomal RNA", at positions 524 to 776 of the family's 1533-position model. The record is from RNAcentral.
UACAGAGGUCUCAAGCGUUGUUCGGAUUCAUUGGGCGUAAAGGGUGUGUAGGUGGCGCGCUAAGUCGGGUGUGAAAUUUCGGAGCUUAACUCCGAAACUGCAUUCGAUACUGCCGUGCUUGAGGACUGGAGAGGAGACUGGAAUUCACGGUGUAGCAGUGAAAUGCGUAGAGAUCGUGAGGAAGACCAGUGGCGAAGGCGGGUCUCUGGACAGUUCCUGACACUGAGGCACGAAGGCCAGGGGAGCAAACGGG